This 1071-nucleotide long non-coding RNA is filed under the name Canis lupus dingo (dingo). RNAcentral describes it as "lncRNA (ENSCAFG00020000994.1)". The record is from RNAcentral. Lineage: Eukaryota; Metazoa; Chordata; Mammalia; Carnivora; Canidae.
AUGCAGAAAGGGUUCCCGAGAGAGGGUCGGAACGCUCCCCUUACCGGAGGGCCCUCGCCUUCCACUGGAUGGGAAGCAAACUCCGACUUCAGAGGCACGGGGUUUGGCCUGCCACCCAGAGCCUUCCUUCCCGGCGUCGCAUCUCCCAGCGGGCCCACCGCUGAUUCUGCACACCCCGACGCAGUCACCGGGGAGGCGGAGCAGGCUGGGACCAGGACAGCCAGCUCCCCGAAGUCACGUCCACAGCGCCCCGGGACGGCGGACGCUCCCCGGGUCCGCGCGGGCACGUCAGCUUCGGUGGGGGCAGGGGGCGCGCAGCCGGCAGCCUCGAGAACCAGCGACUCCGACGCGGACGCGCCAACCACUGCCGUUAACUUUGCCGCCAGCGGGACUUCCGGCGCGAGGCGGGGCGGCUGGCGGCUGGCGGCUUCCGGCUUCCAGGACCCGGUCCUCCUCCCGCCGCAGCCCGCCCCUCCUCCCGGCCCCGGUCCCGGUCCCGGCCCCGGCCCCGGUCCCGGUCCCGGUCCCGGACCCCCUCGCCACCCCGAGGCCCCGCCCCCUGCCCGGGUCCCCCUCGCCACCCCGAGGCCCCGCCCCCUGCCCGGUCCCCCUCGCCACCCCGAGGCCCCGCCCCCUGCCCGGUCCCCCUCGCCACCCCGAGGCCCCGCCCCCUGCCCGGUCCCCCUCGCCACCCCGAGGCCCCGCCUCCCGACCACUCAGGCCCCGCCCCCUGGCCCCUCCUUUCCCUCCUCCCCUCCCCCCGUUCCAUCUAAUUGUUGGAUUGUCGGCGCUGCACUCCCGCUGGAGGCCGGCAGGGGGCAGGGUUCGAGCCUGGAUUUUCUUCCGCCGGGCGUCCCCGGGGAGGCCGUCGCCGAGAGGGAGAGGGGGAGGGGGGAGGGGAGGGCGGGACGCGAGGACGCGGUUCGGUCGGCUGCUGCGCUACUUUUGGCCCCGGGUCGGCGGGGAGGCUGUGGCUGCCGCAUCAGAGCUGACGUGGGGGCGACGCGGGGCCCCGGGGGCGCCGGGCUGCCGGGCUCGCCGUCCCCACCUCCUCCCGCCCGUAAGCAGUGA